Molecule: ribosomal RNA, 464 nt
Filed under: uncultured bacterium
Lineage: Bacteria
Description: partial 16S ribosomal RNA
Rfam family: Bacterial small subunit ribosomal RNA
Source: RNAcentral
ACGAACGCUGGCGGCGUGCUUAACACAUGCCAGUCGCACGGAAAGGCCCUGCUUGCCGGGUACUCGAGUGGCGAACGGGUGAGUAACACGUGGGUGAUCUGCCCUGCACUUCGGGAUAAGCCUGGGAAACUGGGUCUAAUACCGGAUAGGAGCCAUUUUUAGUGUGAUGGUUGGAAAGUUUUUUCGGUGUAGGAUGAGCUCGCGGCCUAUCAGCUUGUUGGUGGGGUAAUGGCCUACCAAGGCGGCGACGGGUAGCCGGCCUGAGAGGGUGGACGGCCACAUUGGGACUGAGAUACGGCCCAGACUCCUACGGGAGGCAGCAGUGGGGAAUAUUGCACAAUGGGCGCAAGCCUGAUGCAGCGACGCCGCGGGGGGGAUGACGGCCUUCGGGUUGUAAACUCCUUUCGCUAGGGACGAAGCUUUUUGUGACGGUACCUAGAGAAGAAGCACCGGCUAACUACGUG